GGAAGUAAAAAGUCGUAACAAGGUCUCCGUUGGUGAACCAGCGGAGGGAUCAUU
Molecule: ribosomal RNA, 54 nt
Filed under: Fusarium oxysporum
Lineage: Eukaryota; Fungi; Ascomycota; Sordariomycetes; Hypocreales; Nectriaceae
Also listed under: 3 other names
Description: partial 18S ribosomal RNA
Rfam family: Eukaryotic small subunit ribosomal RNA
Source: RNAcentral